This 253-nucleotide ribosomal RNA is filed under the name uncultured bacterium. RNAcentral's name for it is "partial 16S ribosomal RNA". It matches the Rfam family "Bacterial small subunit ribosomal RNA", at positions 524 to 776 of the family's 1533-position model. The record is from RNAcentral.
UACGUAGGGCGCAAGCGUUGUCCGGAAUUAUUGGGCGUAAAGAGCUCGUAGGCGGCCUGUUGCGUCCGCUGUGAAAUCCCGGGGCUCAACCCCGGGCCUGCAGUGGAUACGGGCUGGCUGGAGGCAGGCAGGGGAGGACGGAAUUCCUGGUGUAGCGGUGAAAUGCGCAGAUAUCAGGAGGAACACCGGUGGCGAAGGCGGUUCUCUGGGCCUGUUCUGACGCUGAGGAGCGAAAGCGUGGGGAGCGAACAGG